This 3411-nucleotide long non-coding RNA is filed under the name Anolis carolinensis (green anole). RNAcentral describes it as "lncRNA (ENSACAG00000036396.1)". Lineage: Eukaryota; Metazoa; Chordata; Lepidosauria; Squamata; Anolidae. The record is from RNAcentral.
UGCAAACUAUAAAAUCUCAGAUUUUUUUCCUUUUCUUUCUAAUUUUAGUUUGGAGAUCCAUACACAUUUUAAAUCUGAAAUGUUGUCUGUCAGAUCCCAGUAUGAGCAGAGAUUUUUAUACCACCUCAUCAGUGGUAAGGAAUUUGUUGAGCUGCAAUUCACAUCAGUUCCAGUCACUGGUUGUGUGGAAUAUGGCUGAUAGAAUUCGUAGUCCAGUGGCAUCUGGAAGUCCACAAGUUAUCUAUCCAUGCUUCAAACAAGAAAGAGAAAUAUUUAUAUUAACUCAAGGCCUGCCAAAGCACAUUAUACCUGUAUUACCCAACUGUGUGGCAUUUAUAACCCAAAUGGAGCUUAAAGCCCGUAUCACACAUUUCCUGUACAACCACUCUUGGCAGAGAAUCACUAUAAAGUUGCUUUCCAGCAUCUGUGUUUGUAUUUCUUUUUUUAAAAAAAAAUAUUGCUGCCAGAUGCGGAAUAUGUGGUUUCCUGCACAUCUAGUGGAGCCAAACAGGAUUUUCUUUAAGGAAAAGUAUUUCUUUUUGAGCAACUGUUCCCACUUUGAGGCUAGUUCUCCAGUCAGACUGACAAGCCUGAAGCUACAAAAGAUUUAAGGUUGAGCAAGGAAGGUAAGGGUGCAUUUUUCCUGGUUAUUUUUGCAGACUGCUUGAGCUAAAGCGUAUGGCAAAUGACAAACCAUUCUUCUCAAUGUUCCUAGGAAGUGCUUUAGGAAAAGAUUAAUUUAGAGAUGGGACAUUAUUUCCAAGUGAAUUUUUCUUCUUCCUUGACCUGUGUGCUUUACUAACUCUUCAAAACCCUCUUGACAUUACUCUUUCAAAAGAUUGCAGACUAAUAUGGUUGUGUUGUCAUGUCUCUGUUUUAUUUUUCAAAUGUGUGUUUUUUCCUAUUUUUGAAUCAAAUCACAAACAUGGGAAUGUAUGUCUGUUCAACUGUGAACUGCAGAUGAAUCGGCAACUGAGCUUUCCAAAACUUUUCAAGAAUAAAUCAUCCCGAGUACAUUAUUGUAUUAUAACUAUGGCAUGUUACACCAUAUUUUCUCUAUCAAAAAAGGGAUGCAGUUGAUACACCAGACAGAAUUAACAGUCAUACCUACAUCUUAAAAACGUCUAGGAAGGUAAACAUAAUAUUUUUAUACAGCUCUAUGUAUGUUUAUAUAGUAGUAAGAUUCAAGGUGCAUCAACAUUGUAAAAUUAAUGCCAUGGCUCAAUGCUAUGGAAUCAUGCGAGCUGUAGCUUAACAAUAACUUUAGCCUUCUCUGCUAAAAGGUAUGGUGCCUCACAAAACUACAACUUCCAUUAUUCUAUAGCACUGAACAAUAACAAUAAUUUUGACAGGACAAUAGGAUGCUUUUGAAGCAUUUCAGUCUUUGACCAUUACAGGUUGAGUAUCCCUUAUCUGAAAUGCUUGGAACCAGAACUGUUUUGGGUUUGGGUUUUUUUUUAUUUUUUUGUUUUUUUUAUUUUACUUGUAUUUGCACAUACAUAUAUAAUGAUAAAUUUGAAGAUGAAACCCAAGUCUAAAAACAAAAUUCACAGGUGUUUCUUAUGCACCUUAUGCUCAUAGCCUGAAGGUAAUUUAUACUAUAUUUUAAAUAGUUUUAUGCAUGAAAAAGUCUAUGUGCAUCGAUCCAUCAUAAAGCAAAGGUGUCACUAUCUCAACCACCCAGAUUUUUUUUAGAGUGUGGAAAAAUACACAAGACAGCUGCAGAUAAAAAUGAUUUUGUUGGAUCCUCUGUUAAAGUAUCUGAAUGAGAGUAUAUGAUUGCACAAUAAAAACCUCAUUUAGAAGCAUACUCAGCUUUCCCAGAUAUACCAUACAAAGAAUUUUGCUGGAUCAGACAAGUGGCUUUGCUAAUCCACUAUUUUUCUUCACGCAGUGACCAAUCUAUUGUUCAUGGAAAAUCCACAAGCAAGACAAGAAGGUUGCCGUGUUCUCUGUCUUGUGUUCCUGAGUAAAUGAUGUACAGAGUCAUAUUAUCUGAUACAUAGUCAUCAUGGCUAGUAGCAACUUGGUCUCCCUGACCUUCCAAUUACCUUUUACAUAUUUUCAAUUUCUCUUGUGGCAGUGAAUAAUACCACUUUGUGAAGAAAUGUCUACUUUUAUUGAAUUAGUAAACCUUAAGGAAAGGAAUACACCUGUUCUUUCUGUUCCUUGUUCUUCUGAGCUGUCAAUUUGACUUUGACUUAUGAGAACCCUAUCAAGGAUUUUCUCAGCAAGAUUUAUUCAGGGGAUGUUUGCCACUGCCUUUCUCUAAAGGCUGGCACAAUGUGACUUGGCCUAGGUCAGCCAGUGGGUUUCCAUGGCAGAGCAGGGAUCUGAACCCUGAUCUCCCAUAGCCCUAGCCCAGCACUCGAACCACUGUACUAUACUGGCUCAUGACAUCUGCCCCUUGCCUGUUGUUUAUCACAAUGCUGCAGAAGAGUACACCCUUACAGUUCCUCCUUAUGGUAUGUGUAUGUGCUUUCCCAUGCCCCAUUGUCUCGCUGGCCUGUUUCCCUAAGGAAGCUAUAUGGCAUUGGGUUGGUAUAGUUAUCAGAACCCGGGAUUGCAUGAAAUCAUGAACUAUAUGGACAAAGUAGGCUGGUUGGAGUCUGUGACCACUAUUCUCAUUUGAUUCAUCUACCAUCAUUAAGCCUGAACUCAAGCCUCAGUGCUUUGCUUCUGGGGUAACAAAGGAGAGAGACUCAAAAGGCCUUUGUCUCCUAUUAGCUCCCAGACAGUUCUUUGGCAUUGUUCUGAAAAAUCUUCUGAGGAAACAGAAAAUGCACUUUCAAUGCCAUUUAAGAUCUUGCAAUCCCUCCUCUUCUCCUCCUCCCGCCUUACUGAACACAAUGACUGCUCUGGGGUUUCUUUCUGCUUUACAGCCUGGCCUUCUGCAAUGGCUCCAGUCUGGAACCAGGCCGGCUCCUGUCAUGAAAGGCCUUAGGUAGCAACUGCCGCCAUGAUGAAUGCUUUAUAGUUCAGCAGUUUUAUCUGCUCUGGAACAUCCAAAUGUCUCCAUUCUGUGCCAACUGAAAAGACAUUGCAAAACUAAUGGGCAGAAUCCAAAGCCAACCUGCCAGGCAAACAGCAGUGUGCUUGCCCAGUGAAGGGAAAGCUCACAGCCAAGAGGCCAGGUGGUUUGUGCCACUUCCCUUCAAAAGAUUGUUGUUGUUUUCAUUGUCAUUGAAAAUCAUUAUGGGAAACAAAAGAUGCCUACACACGUGGCAGUCUGGAUCAUUGCACUGUUGCCCCAAAACUGAUGCCAAUGUGCAAUCAAAAAGCAACAACCAGCUUUGGACAAGAAGGCGGACAGCUGGCCGAAAGAGAAACAUUUACAAGGGUGGAAAUUACACACUGUCAUCUGCCACUCUUCAAAGCAUGCCGCAAGUAUCCAUGUGCCUGCACCUGAAC